This 460-nucleotide ribosomal RNA is filed under the name uncultured bacterium. RNAcentral's name for it is "partial 16S ribosomal RNA". It matches the Rfam family "Bacterial small subunit ribosomal RNA", at positions 338 to 795 of the family's 1533-position model. The record is from RNAcentral.
CCUACGGGGGGCAGCAGUGAGGAAUAUUGGUCAAUGGACGAGAGUCUGAACCAGCCAAGUAGCGUGAAGGAUGACUGCCCUAUGGGUUGUAAACUUCUUUUAUAUGGGAAUAAAACGUUCCACGUGUGGGAUUUUGUAUGUACCAUAUGAAUAAGGAUCGGCUAACUCCGUGCCAGCAGCCGCGGUAAUACGGAGGAUCCGAGCGUUAUCCGGCUUUUUUGGGUUUAAAGGGAGCGUAGGUGGAUUGUUAAGUCAGUUGUGAAAGUUUGCGGCUCAACCGUAAAAUUGCAGUUGAAACUGGCAGUCGUGAGUACAGUAGAGGUGGGCGGAAUUCGUGGUGUAGCGGUGAAAUGCUUAGAUAUCACGAAGAACUCCGAUUGCGAAGGCAGCUCACUGGACUGCAACUGACACUGAGGCUCGAAAGUGUGGGUAUCAAACAGGAUUAGAUACCCUAGUAGUC